CUGUACAUGUGGUCUCUCUCUCUCUCUCUCUCUCUCUCUCUCUCUCUGUGUGUGUGUGUGUGAGAGAGAGAGAGAGAGAAAGACCUCUGUGUGUGUGUGUGUGUGUGUGUGAGAGAGAGAGAGAGAGAGAGAGAGAGAGAGAGAGACAGACAGACAGA
Podarcis lilfordi (Lilford's wall lizard) is the source of this 158-nucleotide non-coding RNA. The record is from the annotation of a GenBank genome assembly. NCBI's taxonomy places the organism in Eukaryota, Metazoa, Chordata, Lepidosauria, Squamata, Lacertidae.